AAAUAAAACAAAACAAAAACAAAUGAAACACAGUUAUAUGACAUCUCCUUCACCGCCAUUUUCUUAUUUCCUCUUCCUACACAGUUAUCUUCUCUCAUUCUUUUCUUUCUUCAUUUUACACCUUCAAUCUUUAUCUUUUAUAAUUAGUUUUGUGAUCUUACUAGUAUAAUACUUCACAUCUUCAAAUAGGCUAGAAAAAGUUUCUAAACUUACGAUCUUGGUGCGUUUUGGGACGUCUGGGGCUACUUUAAGUGACGACUUUUCCCAAACUUUGAUAGUUUUUAAUCCUCUUUGGUGCGGAUACCGAUUUCAUUUUGGAGUCGUAUUGAUUGUGCUAGUUGGUUUGCUGUAAUUUAAAAGGUACCUGAAGGUUAGAGUCGGGGUACAAGCAGAGAGCUACGUGUGUAUAUAGUUAUAAUAUUUCUUUCCGCGUUAGUUUUAUGUAUAAUUAGUUUAAGACUUAAAGGUGUAAAUAUUAAUUUGCGCUAAAUCUUUUUGGUUAGGUUGUAAUAGUUUAACUUAAGUUAUGAUUUAGAUGUUGGUUGGAUAGUUUCCUUUGGAAUUAUUCUUAAAAUAAUCGUGGAAUAACACGCCUGAAAUUUCGAGUUAGGAGAUGUGUUGGCGAUUGAGCUAUGUGGAGCUGAAAACUUGGAAUAUGGAAUGAAUUUUUUUGUUGAAACAGGUUUAUAUUUUUGACGUUGGUCCUGAAUUAAUAUUUUAGGCAGUCCAUAUUUCAAAUGGAACUCUGCCGAAAUUUCGGUAGAAUUAUUAUGCAAUAUAAUAUAGUUUAGUUACUCGAAAUUCAGGGGUGUUAUAUUUAUUUCAGUUAGAGUGAAUAUUAAAUACUAAUUUUCUUAAGAGAAAUUUUAAUUCGAUGUUUAAUUCUCACCAGUUCCUCCCCUUACUUGUAUGUAUCUUGUAACCAAAAAAACACCGUCCACCACACUUUACAUAAUUUUUGUUUUACCCAUGAAGAAAGGAAGUAAUGACAAAGAGAAGAAUUUUAGGCAAAGAGCAGAAUUUUAGGCGAAGGGGAGGAAUGCCGAAAAUUAUUAAAAUUUCAGACUAUUUAAGUAGUUUUGAUACAUAAAAAGUAAAAUCACUAGAUCUUAAAACUUAUAGUGUCAAACAUUCCUUAUAAUACAAUAUUUUUUUAUAGAUUACGGCCGACUUUAGCACACUAAUAGCUUCGAUCCGCCACAAAACAAAAUGAAAAAAAAAAAAUUAAAAAGAAAAACACUCCAUCUUGUUGA
Amaranthus tricolor (Joseph's coat) is the source of this 1253-nucleotide long non-coding RNA. RefSeq lists it as uncharacterized. Lineage: Eukaryota; Viridiplantae; Streptophyta; Magnoliopsida; Caryophyllales; Amaranthaceae. The record is from RefSeq and is a predicted model, not a curated record. The transcript has 3 exons.